ACCUGGUUUUAGAGACCUGGUCCUCAGAGGGCAGGAAGGGGUUGUUGACGGUGGCUGAGGAGGUGUUUCCAAAGGCGGUGAGGCCAAGCAGUUUGAUCUGUGACAGGCCCAGGGUGCUGGCGUCGCGGGGCCGGUGCAGCCUCAGACACACGGCGGACGCCACCUCAGCCUUCACCAGCUGGAUCUUGAUGUAGGUGAGGCCGCUGGUGAUGAUGGGCGUGGACAGAGGCAGCAUGUUGACCCCGUCCGCGCUGAUCUCAACCGAGACCGAGGAAGGGCAGGCUGGGGAGAGGACAAAAGGGACAUCGUCAGGGUUAGCGAUAAUAGAUGGUGGAAUAUGUUCAACUUUAUUUUCUUCAACUGGUACUGUCUGGCACAAUGGUGUGUUGUGUUUGAUAGAAGCAUGAAAAAGGUUUUGCAUAUUUCAAAUGGCACUAUAGUCGACAGCGGCAGGUUAAUAUUUGAGUGGGUGAAAUAAGUUAGUCAUGAGGAAAACUACUCUUAAGGGGAAAGUAGACAAUGUGCCCUUUAGGCUCUAAAGCAGAGUGGCACAGCUUUCUUACUGGUACCGGAGCUGCAGUCCUGCUGGUUUUCACUUAAAUGAUCAAUUAGACAACUAAGGUCAUUGCUUUGCAAGAGAUUUCGCUGAACUGUUUCUAUUUAAUUCAGUCUCCUAUUUAGACAACUCGUCUGCACUAGUGUCCCCCAGCGGGCCCGUGGUGCAGUACUCACUGGCGAGAGAGGCCAGGUGUGGUUGGAUGUGCAGCUCUUUGAGCAGAACAGCGGCAGGAAGGUGGAUGGUGAGGAUGGGCUGCAGCAUGACCUGCACCGAGGUGGCUCUCUUGCUCAGGGUGGUGAGGAUGGUGAAAAGGCCGUCUCCUACAGAGAUGGCAUCUAGUCCUCCAUGGAAAUUCUCAUGCUUGGUCAGGUGGAGACCACUAGCACCUGAAGACAGGAAGGUAAAGCGUUAUCAAUAAGAAGCACUUGAAUAUCUUAUCCGCUAAUCCGGGAUCCCUCUAAAUAAACGCUUUCUAAAAAGGGACGUGUGAGGAUAAGGCCUACCUAUGAUCAUAGCCAUGGCGCUGCUGUUGCACUGGCCCAGAGCCGAGAGGAUCUGGCUCAUGAUCUGCUGGUUGGCCAGCACCAGGUCAGCCACUCCGGCCGCAGGGCCCUGGUUAGGGGUGGACCCGCCCGCUGCCCCCUCCUUGCUGCCGCACACCUUCUCCUCGUCCGACACGCUGCUGUCCGACGCCCCGCUGCCCGCCGGCGGCAGACGCCCGCUGAACUCGCGGUCGCCCGACAGGGGCAGCUGGACCAGGGCGUUGACCAGCUUGAGCAGGUCGAACAUGAGUUGGUCGCGUGUGGUCUCGCCGCACACCGCCUUGGCGUCGCCGGGCCGGAUGAUGUUGGCGAAUAGGCCUCCGAAGCAGGCGCGGGCACCCACAGCGCUGUCGGAACCGCUGCGGGACACCACCUUGUCAGAGCAGGUGAUGUAGUGAUGCACCAGGAAGGUGAUGGACUCGAUGACAGAGGAGAUGGUGCUAACUGACACCACCUCAAAGUUCUGCUCCAGGGUGAACUCUAACAGCUUGACCUGGGCGUCCAGAGGACCCUGGCCUGACUGGAACGGACCCCUGAAGGAUGGGCAGAGGAGAAAAGAUGGGAUCAUUGACGAAGGUGCUUCCUAACAAAUCAUUGUACUGUUUUGUGUUGGAAUCAAAAGGAUUGCUUUUGUUCCAGCCCAGCUCCAACACAGAUAAAUUGAAGACGAUGAUUAGUUAUAAUUUGAAUUACGCGUCUUAAGUGCUGGCGUGAAACAAAAGCUGCUUAUGAUGUCUCUAGAGUAGACAACCUACCUCUCAGUGGACAGGAUGUGCAUUAGUUUGAGCAGGAACUCACUGAACAUCUGUGGGCAGGUGGAAGAGAGAUGCACCUGGAGUCUGGUGAGGAACUCCUGCAUAGCUUGGGUGGCGGUGGGGCCGACCUGGGAGCUGUGCUGGCUGGUGCCGUGGGGGUUGCUCCCAGACAGGAAACGCACGAGCACGUGCACCAGCGUAGGGUCCGACACCAUCUGCUGGGCCGUGCUCUCAUGAGCUCCCAUCCCACUGCUGGAGGCUAAGGAACAGAGACACACAGGACCAAAACACACUUGAUUAAAAAGGAGUACUAUUGAAAGUCCUUUGGCCUCGUUUACAUCUUCGGUUACACUGCAUAUUCAAUAUGGACUUACUAUUUCGCAAUCCUCGAAUGGGAAACGUCAGUCAGAGUUGUUGUCAGACACUGUCUUGAGAGUGAAACCCUAGGAAUGGUGGACUUACCACAGGAAGGCAUGUUGGUCAUGAGGGUAAGGGAGUGCAGCACCAGGCACCAGGUCCUCAGGGAGGUGUUGGGGUACCAGGCUAGCACCGACAGGAAACUGUUGAUAGAGGCUGCAGGGAAACACAGGGGACAGCAGUUUAACAUACUAACACGUACACUUCCCCGUGUGGAAGGGAAAACAGUGAAUGAUUCACGCAAGAGAAAUCCAGUGGUUUGAGAGUUAAGCGGCGAAAGGGAGUGAACGGAGACACACACAGGGUGACCUCUGACCUUGGUUGAGUGGGAUGGUGGGCACUCUGCUGGCGUUGAACAGGAAAAUAUCCGAUCCACUUUCCUCAGUGCCCCCAGAGCAGGAGUUGAGACUGAGGGUCAGCCACAGUUGCAGCAGAGACUCCAUCUAAGUCAGAAAGACAUGUGAACACUUCAUCUACAAAUCCACUUAUCCAGGGUAAGCAACGUAUUCUUGACAACGGUACAGUACGUUACCUCUACUGCCACAUCCUUACAAAACUGUGUUGAGGGAUGUAAAAAACACAGUGAAGUGCAACAAGUCAUUCAAGUCUUCUGGAGUAGCAGAGCCCUUGGACUACACCGUCUGUUGGUGACUGACCUGUACGUGGUGCACCUGGAGCAUGGAGAAGAGCUUGUUGAAGCAGGC
This 2977-nucleotide long non-coding RNA is filed under the name Salmo salar (Atlantic salmon). Its description in RNAcentral is "lncRNA (ENSSSAG00000085272.1)". Lineage: Eukaryota; Metazoa; Chordata; Actinopteri; Salmoniformes; Salmonidae. The record is from RNAcentral.